CACAAUGUGCUACCGAAGUAAAUAAUACAUUCUCACCACCGUAUGUUAUUUUAAAGAGUGUCUUUGUUUAAAACAAACGCAACAGCCGAUCACUCCGUCAGGGGGCGCAGCGUGGCCACCCGACGACCGGGGAACGCCUCCUCUCUCACAGCAGAAGAAGAAGCUCGCUCCGCAGGUUUGGGGCAGUUGAAGAGCGCGAAGCGGACAGAGCAGUGCGGGAAGAAGCCUCGUGUUCUCCGGUAGUUGCUCGACAGAAAGUACCCCGGGCGACUCGAAUCCGUUUAAAAAUUAAACCCUCUCAGGUGCGCGUGGACCCUCCGCGAGCAGCCGAGCUCCAUCGCAGCCGAUAAUUUACCAGCUCAGAGGAAGGCUGCUAGGCCUCAGCGCGGCAUCGCCAUGAGUUACGGUAGGCCUCCGCCAGACGUCGACGGUAUGACUUCCCUCAAAGUCGACAACCUGACGUACCGGACGUCGCCCGAGACCCUGAGACGCGUGUUCGAGAAGUACGGCCGCGUGGGGGACGUCUACAUCCCCCGGGACCGCUACACCAAAGAGAGCCGCGGGUUCGCCUUCGUGCGCUUCCACGACAAACGCGACGCCGAGGACGCGAUGGACGCCAUGGACGGCGCGCUUCUGGACGGACGCGAGCUGCGUGUUCAGAUGGCCCGAUACGGCAGACCCCCUGAUUCCCACUACGGGGGCAGCGGCGGCGGCGGUGGAGGUGGUGGCGGCGGCGGUGGAGGAGGCGGCGGAGGCGGCGGAAGAGGAGACCGACGAGGAGGGCCUACCAAGAGAUACGGCGGCCAUGGGCGCCGAAGCAGAAGCUCCUCCCCCAGCCCGAGGCACCGGAGACGCAGCCGGUCCCGCAGCAGGAGCCGCUCUCGUUCCCGGAGCCGGUCCCGUUACAGCAGAUCCCGGUCCAGGUCCUACUCCCGCUCCAAGUCCCACUCCCCCAGGAACAAGAAGGUCAAGGCGAAGUCCCCAUCCCGUUCAAAGUCAAAGUCAAAGUCAAAGUCAAAGUCCAAGUCCAAAUCCAGGUCCAGGUCCCGAUCCCGAUCCCGAUCCCGAUCCAAGUCUAAGUCUAAGUCCAAAUCAAAGUCCAAGUCCAAGAGUCGCUCCAGAAGCCACACCCCGGCCUCCAAAAGAGAAUCCAGAUCGAGAUCUAAAAGCCCACCCAAGUCUGCAGCAGAGAAUGGAGGUGAAUCCCCGUAGAGCUCAGGAACAGCUGCGGCAUCCUGUUUGCUAAAGCGGAGUUUGAGCUGAGCUGAGGCAGUAUGAGCAGUUAGAAGGGAUGUGGUGAGCUGUCCACAGGCCGCCUGCUGCUGCUGCUGGUGGUGGUGGUGUGCAGCAGGGUGGAGGCAGUCAGAGUUGGGGUUUGGUGUUGAGUUUCCAGGUGAAGACGCAGCGUCGAGUCGUCGAUCCGACCUGAGCCAACGUGUCCCGCUGUUAAAGGUUAUUAUUGUGUCUUCCAUGCUUUGCUUUGUUUUAUUCAUUUGGCCUGAAAAGAAGUCGUGUCGCCUCAUUGAUGUGCUGUGAUUUUAUUUUCAUGAUGAUUUUAAAAUCUGGGUCAGUGUGGAGAGGAGUCAGUGACACGAUCACGAGCUCCGAAGUUUGUACUGUUGCUCUUUUUCUUUUGUUCUCCUCUCUGGGCCCAACAGAACCAGUGUGAUCCUGGAUUAGCUCACUAAAGCUCCACUUGCCCCCAACGAAACGUCAUAACAACCAACAAUGGGAGGAGUUAAAGAUCCUUUUAGUUGAUCUAAUUAUUACACUGAGAGAUUGUAAACAUUUAAAUGACUGGCUGAUUAUUUUCACCGUUGAGCCCUUUUCUACAUUUGAUCUUUAAAGUUGGUGUAUUUUCUUUCCCUCGCUAUGUGGUCAGUUUGAUCCUGUGGAGACGUAGCUUUGUUUUGCUGUUUAAGUUAGCGUAUUGUCAAUAAACUGAAACGUGACAUAAUCAAUCUCCCAGGACAACGUUGACUGAACCUGAUGCGGAGUUUGUCUUUUCUUUUGACCCUAAUCCUGUUUGUGUUUGUUUUGUGCAUCAGGCGCAGUUGUGUAGCCGUUGAGUUGUGCUGGUUAGCUGUUAAGGUGGCGUGUUGCUCUGCUGAAUCCAGUAUUCUCCAGAGCGCUCCUGUGACUACCAGUGAGCGGCCGCUGCAGUCUCCCUUUGUAAGACAUGUGCCCCCCCCCCCCCAAAAUGCGCUCAUGGAUGACAAAUGUGACUUUC
Pungitius pungitius (ninespine stickleback) is the source of this 2230-nucleotide RNA transcript. It is a transcript of the gene named serine and arginine rich splicing factor 2b, with no coding region annotated. The transcript has 4 exons. The record is from RefSeq and is a predicted model, not a curated record. Lineage: Eukaryota; Metazoa; Chordata; Actinopteri; Perciformes; Gasterosteidae.